This 459-nucleotide long non-coding RNA is filed under the name Arachis ipaensis. RNAcentral's name for it is "long non-coding RNA (AIPA_LNC001856)". Lineage: Eukaryota; Viridiplantae; Streptophyta; Magnoliopsida; Fabales; Fabaceae. The record is from RNAcentral.
GAAGAUGAAUUGAAGAAUUUAAGAGGAGAUGGAAAAGGAGAGCGCAAAGAAUAUGAUAGGAUCUAUGAUUAUGAUGUUUACAAUGAUUUGGGGAAUCCAGAUAGCAAUGAAAAAUAUGCUCGCCCUGUUCUUGGAGGAUCUACUUUACCUUACCCUCGUAGAGGAAGAACAGGAAGACCAACCACUAACAAAGGUCAAUUAUUGAUUUAUUCACAUGUAACAUGUUUAAUUUGUGUUAUUAGUGCUAAUUAAUUUUGCUUUCAACUUAAUUAAACAGAUCCUAAGAGCGAGAAACGGAGCGAUUUUGUUUACCUACCAAGGGACGAAGCAUUUGGUCACUUGAAGUCAUCAGAUUUUCUAACUUAUGGACUAAAAUCUGUAGCACAAGAUGUGAUGCCUGUUCUCACAGAUGCAUUUGAUUCAAAUAUCUUAACUCUUGAGUUUGAUGAUUUUGCUGAA